GGAUUAGUUACCCUGGUAGUCCACGCUGUAAACGAUGUGCACUAGGCGUUGGGGUGUUGAAACCUCAGUGCCGGAGCUAACGUGGUAAGUGCACCGCCUGGGGAGUAUGCCGGCAACGGUGAAACUCAAAGGAAUUGACGGGGGCCCGCACAAGCGGUGGAGCAUGUGGUUUAAUUCGAUUAUACGCGAGGAACCUUACCAGGGUUUGACAUAUACCGGGAGUCGUGGGAGACCACGGUGCCCUUCGGGGCCGGUAUACAGGUGCUGCAUGGCUGUCGUCAGCUCGUGCCG
This 291-nucleotide ribosomal RNA is filed under the name uncultured bacterium. RNAcentral's name for it is "partial 16S ribosomal RNA". It matches the Rfam family "Bacterial small subunit ribosomal RNA", at positions 775 to 1067 of the family's 1533-position model. The record is from RNAcentral.